This 438-nucleotide ribosomal RNA is filed under the name uncultured bacterium. Its description in RNAcentral is "partial 16S ribosomal RNA". It matches the Rfam family "Bacterial small subunit ribosomal RNA", at positions 339 to 795 of the family's 1533-position model. The record is from RNAcentral.
CUACGGGCGGCAGCAGUGAGGAAUAUUGCACAAUGGGGGAAACCCUGAUGCAGCAACGCCGCGUGGAGGAUGACGCAUUUCGGUGUGUAAACUCCUUUUAUAUGUCAAGAAAAUGACGGUAGCAUAUGAAUAAGCACCGGCUAACUCCGUGCCAGCAGCCGCGGUAAUACGGAGGGUGCAAGCGUUACUCGGAAUCACUGGGCGUAAAGGACGCGUAGGCGGGUUGGUAAGUCAGGUGUGAAAUCCUACAGCUUAACUGUAGAACUGCACUUGAACUACCAACCUAGAGUAUGGGAGGGGGAGAUGGAAUUAGUGGUGUAGGGGUAAAAUCCGUAGAUAUCACUAGGAAUACCGAAAGCGAAGGCGAUCUCCUGGAACAUAACUGACGCUAAGGCGUGAAAGCGUGGGGAGCAAACAGGAUUAGAUACCCCUGUAGUC